RNAcentral lists this ribosomal RNA (177 nucleotides) under Boehmeria clidemioides var. diffusa. RNAcentral describes it as "5.8S ribosomal RNA". The stretch from base 24 to 177 matches the Rfam family "5.8S ribosomal RNA". From Rfam's summary of the family: 5.8S ribosomal RNA (5.8S rRNA) is a component of the large subunit of the eukaryotic ribosome. It is transcribed by RNA polymerase I as part of the 45S precursor that also contains 18S and 28S rRNA. Functionally, it is thought that 5.8S rRNA may be involved in ribosome translocation. The record is from RNAcentral. Lineage: Eukaryota; Viridiplantae; Streptophyta; Magnoliopsida; Rosales; Urticaceae.
CUAAUUUAAUAGAGCGUCGCAAUGACUCUCGGCAACGGAUAUCUCGGCUCUCGCAUCGAUGAAGAACGUAGCGAAAUGCGAUACUUGGUGUGAAUUGCAGAAUCCCGUGAACCAUCGAGUCUUUGAACGCAAGUUGCGCCCGAAGCCUUUCGGCCGAGGGCACGUCUGCCUGGGCGU